Molecule: long non-coding RNA, 2107 nt
Organism: Juglans regia (Persian walnut)
Lineage: Eukaryota; Viridiplantae; Streptophyta; Magnoliopsida; Fagales; Juglandaceae
Exons: 4
Source: RefSeq, a predicted model, not a curated record
CUAGUGAGAGACAGAUGAGAGAGAAGCUACUGCGUUUGAAAGAAGAAAAUAAAAAAAAAAUGGAUGAAAAGCAUCGUAGCGUGUGCAUCGUUAUAGUGGAUGCACUCUAACACUUCUCGUGUCCAGUUCUGACAGCACUCAUAGGCGCUUUUAUCUCAAAUUCGAAGAGGAAGCGAGGGAAGCUCCGAAGAUUUGAUUCGCAGCUUCUUUCUUUAUGCAGAUUUCAGGCAUUCUCGGGAUGGAUCACUUUCGGUGUUAAUCAGCAAUCUUCCCGGGAGGGCCCGAACGUCACAUUCGGUUAGAAAGGGUCAUCCGUUUCACUUGAGAACGCUUGGCACGACUCGCUUCUAAGGGAGGAAGGGUGGGGAGAUAACGAAAUUUUUUGUUCUAUAUGAUAUCCAAGGCUGGUUUUCCCCGAGAGAGCAAUUGAUUUAAGGGCAUUCUAUCUACAGGGCUAAGAUGCGAUCAGGCAUUUUCUCGAAGCUGAACGCUACUAUCUUUCUGGUUUCGCCCGGGCAACAGCUCAGCAACGAUGUGGGUGGCGAGGUUCAAUGCAUAUGCUACUUGGACCAGGGAACUUCUUGUUUGGAAAUUUAGUGCCAUUGCAUUCCUUGCCGUACUCAACUCCUUUGAUCUCUGACACUUUUCGGUUUCCUCUUGGCUGUGAGAUCACAAGAAAAUCUAUGGCUGCCUCUACCUCCAAAAUUUAUUGGGAGAUUAUUUUGUUGACGACUUCUUCACAGAUUGUGGAAAUGCCUUAGACUUCACGAAACCUACUGGUGUUUUUCAGAAGGCAAGACUGGUUUCAGAAGGCAAGACUGGUCCAAUGGUCAUCUUAUCUGUGGAAAUUUUAUUUUUGAUGGUUUGUGGAGUUGUAACCCCAGUACACUUGUUGAACCAUGGUUGAAGAAAUUCAUGCUCCAUCUUCUGCAUGCCAUUCUGCUGGGGCUGCUCAUGAUGUUUCUUUUGACAACAAUUCUCGUGACGAACAGCUUGCGGAUUCCAGCAUUUUGUCCGGCCAGGACUACAUGCUAUUAAUCUAGGAGACAGUGGAUUUAUAGUGGUUAGAGAUGGAUGCACUGUCUUCCGAGCCCCAGUGCAGCAAGGAUGGCUUCAAUUUUACAUAUCAGCUGGAGAGUGGUAGUGGGGGUGAUCUACCUAUCUCUGGUCAGGUCAGUUAACACUUUAAUACCUUGAAUCAUAUAUUCUUUGUGAGAUGUCGUCAGGAUAUAUCCGAAUCAUAUAUUGGUCUUUGGAAAUGGAAAGAGUUUUGGCUUACUUCUGUCUUUUAUGUGAUGGAAUAGAAACUUGUGGUAUGUUGUAAUGAAUUCAUAAAUUAACCACACAGAGACAGUUAUAUACACGCACGUGUGUGUGUGUGCAUUAGGGUUACACAUAUAGCUGACAUGUUACUGAUGUCUCUUCCUAUAAGGCUGCUGUCAUGGUUUACUGGUAAUUGUUUGAGAAUAUUUGGUGCACCUCUCUCUCCCUAACACAUACACAAACAUUAGAUUUAAGGAAGUGAAUUGGUCGUGAGUAUUGAAGAUCUGUUUAAUAUCAGGCUUUCAUAGUUUUGGAUCCUUGAGAGCUAAGAUACUGUUAACUAAAUCAGCGUAGGAUAUGACGAGAAAAUAUUGUUUUCUAGAAGUUACAGCUUUUGUCGUUCACACGGUUAGGGCUGGCUUGGAACCUCAAAUAACUGCUCAGAAGAUGGCAUUUCUGGCAUGCCAGCGAGCACAGGAUAGAAAUCAGCCAACACCUUUUUCUACGGCUGCUCAAGAGGCUGGGUUCUGCUAUUAUGGAGGCAAGCUCGAUGACAUUACAGUUGUGGUGUCAUACGUUACUAGUUCUUCUGGUGUGUGAGUUUCUCAUCCUCAGUAUAGCUAUACUAAUCUGCUUGUACGGUUUCAUAUAUUCAGUUAUGUAAACUAAUAGGCCCCAUUAGUUCAGUUUUUGGCCGUGAAAACAUUCCAAUUUCUUUAGUUCAAUUUUUUGGCAUUGAGACAUUCAAAUAAAUGGCGUGAGAUGGCCAAGUAUCAAAGAACUUGACAGUGUGCAUAUAUCAUUUCCAAUAUCUAGCAGGAAGCUGCAGUUUGUAGAAAUUUAA